RNAcentral lists this unclassified non-coding RNA (129 nucleotides) under uncultured Mortierella. RNAcentral's name for it is "sequence contains ITS1". Lineage: Eukaryota; Fungi; Mortierellomycota; Mortierellomycetes; Mortierellales; Mortierellaceae. The record is from RNAcentral.
UAAUAAAAGUGUUUUAUGGCACUUUUAAAACAAUCCAUAUCCACCUUGUGUGCAAUGUUUUUUCAUUAUCAACUCUUUAUUUUAAUUAUUUUGUCUGAAAUAUAUUAUGAAUAACUUAAUUCAAAAAUA